UGCAAGUCGAACGAAGUAGCAAUACUUAGUGGCAGACGGGUGAGUAACAUGUAGGUAUCUGCCCUUUGGCCUGGAAUAACACGAGGAAACUUGUGCUAAUACCGGAUAAGUCUUUACGGAGAAAGCUUUAUGCGCCAUUGGAUGAGCCUGCACUUGAUUAGUUUGUUGGUGGGGUAAUGGCCUACCAAGACUGUGAUCAAUAGCUGAUUUGAGAGGAUGAUCAGCCACAUUGGGACUGAGACACGGCCCAAACUCCUACGGGAGGCAGCAGUGGGGAAUCUUGCACAAUGGAGGAAACUCUGAUGCAGCGAUGCCGCGUGAGUGAAGAAGGCCCUUGGGUUGUAAAGCUCUUUCGUCGGGGAAGAAAAUGACUGUACCCGAAUAAGAAGGUCCGGCUAACUUCGUGCCAGCAGCCGCGGUAAUACGAAGGGACCUAGCGUAGUUCGGAAUUACUGGGCUUAAAGAGUUCGUAGGUGGUUGAAAAAGUUAGUGGUGAAAUCCCAGAGCUUAACUCUGGAACUGCCAUUAAAACUUUUCAGCUAGAGUAUGAUAGAGGAAAGCAGAAUUUCUAGUGUAGAGGUGAAAUUCGUAGAUAUUAGAAAGAAUACCAAUUGCGAAGGCAGCUUUCUGGAUCAUUACUGACACUGAGGAACGAAAGCAUGGGUAGCGAAGAGGAUUAGAUACCCUCGUAGUCCUUGCCGUAACGAUGUGUGUUAGACGUUGGAA
This 726-nucleotide ribosomal RNA is filed under the name uncultured marine bacterium. RNAcentral's name for it is "bacterial SSU rRNA". It matches the Rfam family "Bacterial small subunit ribosomal RNA", at positions 56 to 828 of the family's 1533-position model. The record is from RNAcentral.